CUGCACUUUCACAGUUUUGGAGAGCUGGCUGCUUCUGACCUGUGUGUUGAAAUUCAGAGGAGCUGUCGAGAAUGGAAACUCACACAUUAGUGAAACCCUCAAGCAGCGAGGCCGGGGAGUCGGAAAUGCCUGCGAGAGCACAAGGGAGAUUCCAAACUGUACUAGUGUGUAAAACUGGGGGAGCAGCGCUUCAUGUUCGGGGGUUAUCUUUUUUUUUUGUUUUGUAAUUCUCAACACAACUGAUGUUAAUAGUUUUCUAAGGGACCUCAUUUAUACAGACUUGCAUGGAUGUCUCGUUCAACAACAUCCAUGCAGUUAAUGUCAAUUUACUCAAUGAGAUCAUUGUAAUCACUGACAAAACUUAUUCAGUUUUGUGGAUGUAUAAGCUACAUAGCAGCAUUCAUUUGCAAAGUGAAAUAUCUUUCGUGGAAUCUAUCAAAAGUUAUGUACAUUUCCUAAGGCGUUUGCUUUGAAAAUCAUUUCUGCCUAUAUAUAGACUAUAAUGUCAGAGUCUUCAAUCAAACAGGGAAUAUUAUUGAAAUGUACAAUACUGUCAUCUGUUCUGUUAAAUGUAUAUAUUAUUACUUUCUACAUGCUCGUAGUCUGAGUACCAUGGCAGCAACAGAAGAUCUGACGAUGGUCUUUUUUUUCUGAAAGUGUGUUUAAAAAGUCAAACAUUACUUAAAGAAACCGAUUUCCUUUGCUAAGGUCCUUGACUUGUGCAUGUUCUUUCUGAGGACACAAUUUCUGUGUUGUAGAUAAGCAAGUGUUGUAAAUAGUUAUUUUCUAAUCAUCUGUCAAAAGACCCCAGUUGAUUCUGCUGAUUCUGUUUUGCUCUCAUUUUCUUCAGUCGAGUGUUGGCUGAAAUGAACCUGACAGAAAGGAUUUAUCUGUUAAUGCAGGUAGAGCUGUAUCGGCAUAGUGCAGAUGUCCCUCAUCUUCUCUGAAAAUAAAGUUAAAAGGAUCAUCCUCAACAGGAUCAUUUUCAGGAUAUUUGCAUUUGUACAGAUAUACAAUAGAUGAUCAAAUAUUUUUAACCAGAUGACUGUCAUUAAACUCUC
Molecule: long non-coding RNA, 1061 nt
Organism: Oreochromis aureus
Lineage: Eukaryota; Metazoa; Chordata; Actinopteri; Cichliformes; Cichlidae
Source: Ensembl